UCUCCCAUAGCUCAGUCGGUAGAGCGACGGACUGUUAAUCCGCAGGUCCCUGGUUCGAGCCCAGGU
Molecule: transfer RNA, 66 nt
Filed under: Acinetobacter baumannii
Lineage: Bacteria; Pseudomonadati; Pseudomonadota; Gammaproteobacteria; Moraxellales; Moraxellaceae
Also listed under: 5 other names
Description: tRNA-Asn
Rfam family: tRNA
About the family: Transfer RNA (tRNA) molecules are approximately 80 nucleotides in length. Their secondary structure includes four short double-helical elements and three loops (D, anti-codon, and T loops).
Source: RNAcentral